This 460-nucleotide ribosomal RNA is filed under the name uncultured bacterium. RNAcentral's name for it is "partial 16S ribosomal RNA". It matches the Rfam family "Bacterial small subunit ribosomal RNA", at positions 338 to 795 of the family's 1533-position model. The record is from RNAcentral.
CCUACGGGAGGCAGCAGUGAGGAAUAUUGGUCAAUGGGCGGAAGCCUGAACCAGCCAAGUCGCGUGAGGGAUUAAGGCCCUGCGGGUCGUAAACCUCUUUUGCCGGGGAGCAGUGGUCCGGACGCGUCCGGACCGGGAGAGUACCCGGAGAAAAAGCAUCGGCUAACUCCGUGCCAGCAGCCCCGGUAAUACGGAGGAUGCGAGCGUUAUCCGGAUUUAGUGGGUUUAAAGGGUGCGUAGGCGGGCAUUUAAGCCGGCGGUCAAAUGUCGGGGCUCAACCCCGGCCUGCCGUCGGAACUGGGUGCCUUGAGUGGGCGAGAAGUAUGCGGAAUUCCUAGUGUAGCGGUGAAAUGCGUAGAUAUUAGGAGGAACACCAGUGGCGAAGGCGACUUUCUGGACAGUAACUGACGUUGAGGCACGAAAGUGUGGGGAGCAAACAGGAUUAGAUACCCUAGUAGUC